RNAcentral lists this ribosomal RNA (472 nucleotides) under Coniochaetaceae sp. MAE-2017. Its description in RNAcentral is "SSU rRNA". It matches the Rfam family "Eukaryotic small subunit ribosomal RNA", at positions 32 to 508 of the family's 1831-position model. The record is from RNAcentral. Lineage: Eukaryota; Fungi; Ascomycota; Sordariomycetes; Coniochaetales; Coniochaetaceae.
UUGUCUCAAAGAUUAAGCCAUGCAUGUCUAAGUAUAAGCAAUUAUACCGCGAAACUGCGAAUGGCUCAUUAAAUCAGUUAUCGUUUAUUUGAUAGUACCUUACUACAUGGAUAACCGUGGUAAUUCUAGAGCUAAUACAUGCUAAAAAUCCCGACUUCGGAAGGGAUGUAUUUAUUAGAUUAAAAACCAAUGCCCUUCGGGGCUCUCUGGUGAUUCAUAAUAACUUCUCGAAUCGCACGGCCUUGCGCCGGCGAUGGUUCAUUCAAAUUUCUGCCCUAUCAACUUUCGACGGCUGGGUCUUGGCCAGCCGUGGUGACAACGGGUAACGGAGGGUUAGGGCUCGACCCCGGAGAAGGAGCCUGAGAAACGGCUACUACAUCCAAGGAAGGCAGCAGGCGCGCAAAUUACCCAAUCCCGACUCGGGGAGGUAGUGACAAUAAAUACUGAUACAGGGCUCUUUUGGGUCUUGUAA